Molecule: small RNA, 958 nt
Filed under: Oryza sativa Japonica Group (Japanese rice)
Lineage: Eukaryota; Viridiplantae; Streptophyta; Magnoliopsida; Poales; Poaceae
Description: sRNA Os10g0164001
Source: RNAcentral
GACGGCAAUAGCUCGCUCUCUCCGCAAUAUUCGGAUCGACCGCUAGCUACCGGAGAGUCAAAGCGGACGGCAUGAUCCAUUGGCGAUUGAUGAGCAACCAUGCACGGUGCCGGCGGCAUCCAUCGGUGAUUUGUUGGGAUGCGGUGAGAUCCAUUUGCAGCAACAUGGCAAUCAUGGCGUUCCUAGGCAGUGCCCUAGCGGCGACGAUAUCAGUCAUCGAUUCGUCGUCUCGUCCUAUGUAGGCGCUGUGCGGUGACGCUGUCCACACGGAGGCAGCGGUGGCCUGGCUGCACCUCGGCGCGACGCUACUACUCCUCACCACCGGUGUGGACGAAGAACGACGGUUGGCCGGAGGUGCAGGAUCAUCCGAUCAUGCAAUCGGGGUUUCUUCGCCAAGCCCGGUUGACACAUAAAUCCAUGCGCCGUGCAGGGAAAUGAGGCCGUAACCACUCUGUUCUACUCCUUAUUCAUCCUGCCAAGGUAUUAUCUUUCCAUUUUUCUCUUCCUGCAGAUCGAGGAUUCCCUUUCUUAUUAGAUCUGUACUUGAAUGUAAUCCCCAUUCACCCUCUUUCCAUGAGUAGGCCUGCUAGUAUUUUAAAAAAAAUUAUUUGAUAACCCAGCGUAUUAUUUAGUCUUCUGAAGAAUGAUGAAGCUCCUAAUUAACUAGUUCUUUGCUUUGCUCCAUACAGAUGCAUGACAAAUACACCAUGGAUGGUGGCCAACACCGGGCAGUAUAUUCGCAUGGUUGCAUGGAUUAGCUGAUGUAGAUGUAGAAAAUGUGGAUAUGGCAGUAUGAAAAUUCUGUCCAAAGCAGUUUGUGCAGGUCGAAAAUUGGGUAUACUGUACAUUCAUUUUUUCUUCUUUUUCAGAAUGGCUAAAUGUAUGAAUCCAUAUACUGCCUGGAUUAUUGCAAAUUCUCUUGGGAUCGGACUAUGCUUCAAUUUAAUCUAAAUUGAGG